This 257-nucleotide ribosomal RNA is filed under the name uncultured bacterium. RNAcentral describes it as "partial 16S ribosomal RNA". It matches the Rfam family "Bacterial small subunit ribosomal RNA", at positions 524 to 776 of the family's 1533-position model. The record is from RNAcentral.
UACGUAGGGCGCAAGCGUUGUCCGGAAUUAUUGGGCGUAAAGAGCUCGUAGGCGGCUUUGUCACGUCGGGUGUGAAAGCCCGGGGCUUAAACCCCGGGGUCUGCAUUCGAUACGGGCAGGCGUAGAGUGUGGUAGGGGAGAUCGGAAUUCCUGGUGUAGCGGUGAAAUGCGCAGAUAUCAGGAGGAACACCGGUGGCGAAGGCGGGUCUCUGGGCAGUAACUGACGCUGAGGAGCGAAAGCGUGGGGAGCGAACAGG